UAGGUUGGCACCAAGUGACACUUCAUUACAUUUCUCAUUUAAUGUUUCAUGUACUCUAUUUUGGGAGUCCUGCAUUUAUCUAAUAACACAUAGGGUGAUCUGAGCCCAAGUAAUCAAUAUAUCAAUAUCAAAGGUUUCAUAGUGCAAGACAGAUGGUACCUGUGCCCUAAAGUCUUUCAGGUCAGAGUGACCUGCUAAUGGUGGUGAACAAAGGAACUGGAAUUUACUGACUUUUCAGAGUUGACCACCUGCCAGAGAUGAGAUCAAGAAAAUUUAGAUCAAGGAAAUUUAGAGAGGAUGGGUGUAGUAGACCACUACCUAUAAAAGUAGGGGCCCCAGAGGGUCCGGUGGGCUUGCCUUUGGUUGUAUUCAAGUCUGUCUGUCUAUCGCUUAACCACAGCAUGGGGCACUUUUUGUCCAUUUUUCAUCUAUGCUCCAAUUAGUAUGCUCUUGACACGUCUGGUGAGGGAGAGAAAAACUGACAAAUGAACCGAAACUGGAGAAAAGCUAAGGAUAACAAAUAACCUGUGGAUGGAAACAUGGGCAAGGGAUGAGGAACCAGCAGACAUGGGGAAACAGGCAGAAGAAACACAGCGACGCACAAGGAACGACACGCAGACAGACCAGCAAGGAGCAGAAGGAAGCACACACUAAAUAUACACACAAGGUUUGUGCUCCCUGGCCCGACUUUGUCCUCCUCUUUCUCACACGCUGCUGAAUUUAUCCUGGUGUGUCAGAGGUGGAAAGCCAUAAGAAUGAACAAUAAAUAGAACUGAAACCUU
Long non-coding RNA from Oreochromis niloticus (Nile tilapia), 782 nucleotides. RefSeq lists it as uncharacterized. The transcript is spliced from 2 exons. NCBI's taxonomy places the organism in Eukaryota, Metazoa, Chordata, Actinopteri, Cichliformes, Cichlidae. The record is from RefSeq and is a predicted model, not a curated record.